UAUAUGCUCUUUAUGUUGCUGGUAAUUGGGAUGAAGUAAACAUCUGUUGAGUAUUUUAACAAAAAAUUGUUUGAUUAUGUUGAAUUAAAAACCCACAAAUGUAGCAGGUCCACCAGACCCACGAACACUGACUGAAUAACAAAAACCUGAACACCACACAAGGGUUAAAGAAUUAGUUCAGUUGGUGGAUGG
Sphaeramia orbicularis (orbiculate cardinalfish) is the source of this 192-nucleotide long non-coding RNA. RefSeq lists it as uncharacterized. The transcript is spliced from 3 exons. Lineage: Eukaryota; Metazoa; Chordata; Actinopteri; Kurtiformes; Apogonidae. The record is from RefSeq and is a predicted model, not a curated record.